UGCUUGGGUAUCUGCCCUGAUGUGGGGGAUAACAGUUGGAAACGACUGCUAAUACCGCAUAAUGUCUACGGACCAAAGGUGGCCUCUCCCUGGAAGCUAUCGCAACAGGAUGAACCCAAGUGGGAUUAGCUGGUUGGUGAGGUAACGGCUCACCAAGGCGACGAUCCCUAGCUGGUCUGAGAGGAUGAUCAGCCACACUGGAACUGAGACACGGUCCAGACUCCUACGGGAGGCAGCAGUGGGGAAUAUUGCACAAUGGGCGAAAGCCUGAUGCAGCCAUGCCGCGUGUGUGAAGAAGGC
RNAcentral lists this ribosomal RNA (300 nucleotides) under uncultured Gammaproteobacteria bacterium. RNAcentral describes it as "bacterial SSU rRNA". It matches the Rfam family "Bacterial small subunit ribosomal RNA", at positions 114 to 415 of the family's 1533-position model. Lineage: Bacteria; Pseudomonadati; Pseudomonadota; Gammaproteobacteria. The record is from RNAcentral.